AACGUAGGGGGCAAGCGUUGUUCGGAAUUACUGGGCGUAAAGCGCGUGUAGGCGGCUUGGCAAGUCGGAAGUGAAAGCCCUCGGCUCAACCGGGGAACUGCUUUCGAUACUGCCAGGCUUGAGUGCGGGAGGGGAGAGCGGAAUUCCCGGUGUAGCGGUGAAAUGCGUAGAUAUCGGGAAGAACACCGGUGGCGAAGGCGGCUCUCUGGACCGCGACUGACGCUGAGACGCGAAAGCGUGGGGAG
Molecule: ribosomal RNA, 245 nt
Filed under: uncultured delta proteobacterium
Lineage: Bacteria; Deltaproteobacteria
Description: partial 16S ribosomal RNA
Rfam family: Bacterial small subunit ribosomal RNA
Source: RNAcentral